AGUCUGCAACCCGACUCCAUGAAGCUGGAUUCGCUAGUAAUCGCGCAUCAGCCACGGCGCGGUGAAUACGUUCCCGGGCCUUGUACACACCGCCCGUCAAGCCAUGAAAGCCGGGGGUACCUGAAGUGCGUAACCGCGAGGAGCGCCCUAGGGUAAAACUGGUGAUUGGGGCUAAGUCGUAACAAGGUAUC
Molecule: ribosomal RNA, 191 nt
Filed under: uncultured bacterium
Lineage: Bacteria
Description: partial 16S ribosomal RNA
Rfam family: Bacterial small subunit ribosomal RNA
Source: RNAcentral